GACGAACGCUGGCGGCGUGCUUAACACAUGCAAGUCGAACGGAAAGGCCCUGAUUUUGUGGGGUGCUCGAGUGGCGAACGGGUGAGUAACACGUGAGUAACCUGCCCUUGACUUUGGGAUAACUUUAGGAAAAUGGGGCUAAUACCGGAUAGGAGCUCCUGCUGCAUGGUGGGGGUUGGAAAGUUUCGGCGGUUGGGGAUGGACUCGCGGCUUAUCAGCUUGUUGGUGGGGUAGUGGCUGACCAAGGCUUUGACGGGUAGCCGGCCUGAGAGGGUGACCGGCGUCAAGGGGACUGAGGGAGGGCGCAGAAGGGUACGGGAGGCAGCAGGGGAGAAUAUGACACAAUGGGCGGAAGCCUGAUGCGACAACGUCGGGAUCGUGAUGACGGCCUACGGGUUGUAAACCGCUGUCGCCUGUGACGAAGAGUGAGUGACGGUAAUGGAUAAAGAAGCACCGGCUAACUACGUG
RNAcentral lists this ribosomal RNA (468 nucleotides) under uncultured bacterium. Its description in RNAcentral is "partial 16S ribosomal RNA". It matches the Rfam family "Bacterial small subunit ribosomal RNA", at positions 28 to 507 of the family's 1533-position model. The record is from RNAcentral.